Molecule: long non-coding RNA, 1127 nt
Filed under: Cercocebus atys (sooty mangabey)
Lineage: Eukaryota; Metazoa; Chordata; Mammalia; Primates; Cercopithecidae
Description: lncRNA (ENSCATG00000045715.1)
Source: RNAcentral
AGCAAAUUGACAGUAAAAUAAUUAUUCUCAAAACAUUUUUUCAACAGUUUUAUUAAGCAUCUUUCUACUGUAGUCAUUUUUAUUUCUUCUGCUCCAAAUUCUGUCAGCCACUUUUUUUUUUUUUUUUUUUUUUUCUGGCUUUACACUUAGCAACCCAUUAGGAAUGGAACUCAUUUUCAGUACACAAAAGGCUUUGGGACAGCAAAUUUCUUUAAUUUUAACACUCUCUCAGUAUCUGCUGCUUGACCAAAUAGAUAUAUUCGAACAAUAUUGGCUAUAAGAUAAAUUCUAUUUUGCUCUUGCUUACAUUAGAAUGCUGAGGAUGUGUUCCCAUGAGUUUCUCCCUCCUUGUACCCCACCGAAUGGAAUGUUAAAAAUACGGAGAAAGCAAUUUAUGCAGAUGAAGUCCCAACUCUGGCCAUGGCCAAUAUUAGCUGGAUAAUUCUUUGAAUCUGGCUAAUGUGGAAUCUUGCAAGGACAAAGAGGAUUUGCUCAUGAACUGGGCUCUAUUUCCCACUGGAGUCCAGAGGAAGCAGCAAGAAGAUGGCACAAAGACAGAGUCCUCCACUAGUGAGCCUCUUUAUCUUCCUUCUACAGAAGCUCUGUGCAGAAACAGCAACUCAGGCUGUCCCUUAAGCAGCUUCAUUGUCAAAGGCUCAAUAGAAUUCUCCUUCUGAACAAAGGGAGAUACAUUUCUUUAUCUGUCUAAUUAAUGCUUAGACUUAAAAAGAAUGUAUUCAGUCUACAGCCUAGAGAGGAUGAGCUACCUGAAAUAAAAAAGUAUUUUCCUUUGGAAGAAAAAUAAAAUGUUGAUGCUGUCUCUGCUGUAUGGAUUUUUACAUCAGUUAGGGAGCUUGAUAAAUAGAUACUAGAAAAAAAUUCCAGGAGGUCUAUUCUACCCCAGCCUAGACAUUCAGGCUCCAAUUCCCAUUAUCUAGCAGUCCAGUGGGUUGAAAUUGAGCAAAUGCAGAUCACUGUGAGAUACACUAAAUGUGUGUUGCACCAACCACUGUUUAAUAUGUGCAAUGCUUUCUUCCCUCACAGUUAUGCAUUUUCUAGUCUUGUGCCAAAAGACCAAUCAUCAAAAUAUAGUAUGCUGGUGGGGAGCAAAAACAAAUAUAGAAUGC